CCUACGGGUGGCAGCAGUGGGGAAUAUUGCACAAUGGGCGAAAGCCUGACGCAGCGACGCCGCGUGAGGGAUGAAGGUCUUCGGAUCGUAAACCUCUGUCAGCAGGGAAGAACGGUGACUGUUCUAAUCAGCAGUGAAUUGACGGUACCUGCAAAGGAAGCACCGGCUAACUCCGUGCCAGCAGCCGCGGUAAUACGGAGGGUGCGAGCGUUAAUCGGAAUUACUGGGCGUAAAGCGCUCGUAGGCGGUAUGUUAAGUCAAGUGUGAAAUCCCCGCGCUCAACGUGGGAACUGCAUUUGAAACUGGCAAACUGGAGUGUGUGAGAGGAUAGUAGAAUUCCAGGUGUAGGAGUGAAAUGCGUAGAGAUCUGGAGGAACAUCAGUGGCGAAGGCGACUAUCUGGCACAUAACUGACGCUGAGGAGCGAAAGCGUGGGUAGCAAACAGGAUUAGAUACCCGAGUAGUC
RNAcentral lists this ribosomal RNA (465 nucleotides) under uncultured bacterium. RNAcentral describes it as "partial 16S ribosomal RNA". It matches the Rfam family "Bacterial small subunit ribosomal RNA", at positions 338 to 795 of the family's 1533-position model. The record is from RNAcentral.